This 449-nucleotide ribosomal RNA is filed under the name uncultured bacterium. RNAcentral describes it as "partial 16S ribosomal RNA". It matches the Rfam family "Bacterial small subunit ribosomal RNA", at positions 29 to 523 of the family's 1533-position model. The record is from RNAcentral.
AACGAACGCUGGCGGCAUGCCUAACACAUGCAAGUCGAACGAGAUCUUCGGGUCUAGUGGCGCACGGGUGCGUAACGCGUGGGAAUCUGCCCUUUGGUUCGGAAUAACAGUUGGAAACGACUGCUAAUACCGGAUGAUGACGAAAGUCCAAAGAUUUAUCGCCAGAGGAUGAGCCCGCGUAGGAUUAGCUGGUUGGGGUGGUAAAAGCGCACCAAGGCGCCGGUCCUUAGCUGGUCUGAGAGGAUGAUCAGCCACACUGGGACUGGGACACGGCCCAGACUCCUACGGGAGGCAGCAGUGGGGAAUAUUGGACAAUGGGCGAAAGCCUGAUCCAGCAAUGCCGCGUGAGUGAUGAAGGCCUUAGGGUUGUAAAGCUCUUUUACCCGGGAUGAUAAUGACAGUACCGGGAGAAUAAGCUCCGGCUAACUCCGUGCCAGCAGCCGCCGCCG